GAAGUGCGAUAAGCAAUGCGAAUUGCAGAACCGUGAGUCAUCAGAUUUUUGAACGCAACUGGCGCCGGCUGGCUCUCCAGUCGGCAUGCUUGUUUCAGUGUCUUUUUAUCUCAUCACCCAAAUCUUAAUGCGAGAGAUACCCUUCUCUCGUUAAGCAUGAAAGCACUCUGCGCUCUGCGAGCGAUUUCGACUUGUUCGAGGUCGCACUCAAUGCAGCGGUCACAUUCUAGCAAUGUGAACUCAUUGAGAGUAGAGGCAGUGCAGCCUAACAGCUGCCAGUGCUUAGACACACAAACUUUCUUUGUAUCUGAAAUCAAGCAGGAUCACCCGCUGAGUUUAA
Molecule: unclassified non-coding RNA, 340 nt
Filed under: uncultured fungus
Lineage: Eukaryota; Fungi
Description: sequence contains ITS1
Rfam family: 5.8S ribosomal RNA (bases 1-103)
Source: RNAcentral